Molecule: ribosomal RNA, 253 nt
Filed under: uncultured bacterium
Lineage: Bacteria
Description: partial 16S ribosomal RNA
Rfam family: Bacterial small subunit ribosomal RNA
Source: RNAcentral
UACGGAGGGUGCGAGCGUUGUCCGGAAUCACUGGGCGUAAAGGGCUCGUAGGUUGCCAACUAAGUCAGACGUGAAAUCCCUCGGCUUAACCGGGGAACUGCGUCUGAUACUGGAUGGCUUGAGUUCGGGAGAGGGAUGCGGAAUUCCAGGUGUAGCGGUGAAAUGCGUAGAUAUCUGGAGGAACACCGGUGGCGAAGGCGGCAUCCUGGACCGACACUGACACUGAGGAGCGAAAGCCAGGGGAGCAAACGGG